Molecule: long non-coding RNA, 886 nt
Filed under: Oryza sativa Indica Group (long-grained rice)
Lineage: Eukaryota; Viridiplantae; Streptophyta; Magnoliopsida; Poales; Poaceae
Description: lncRNA OsMH63_12G012390
Source: RNAcentral
AUCACUCAUCUCAAAUGUGGAGGAUUUGUCCUUGGAACUCACAUUUGUCAUUGCAUAGCUGAUGCCUUCGGCACAUUUCAAUUCUUGAAAGCUAUAUUUGAUAUAGCACGCAGUGAGGCAAAACCAACCAUGUUACCAGUUUGGAAAAGGGAGCUCUUUGUUGGAACAAGUCUACCACCCCACAUCAAAGAAGAACAAGAGAAGUUAUUUGAUGAACUAGAGAGCGCCACUUGUGAUGAUAUUAUGGUGACAAUGCCCACUGAAAACAUAGUUUCUGAAUACUUUAUUCUCUCUCAAAUAGAUAUGGUUGCACUAAGGCAUCAUGUCCCAUUAAAUCUCACAAAAACAGUCACGAGCUUUGAGCUACUAACUGCGGUUACAUGGCGGUCCCGUACUGUGGCACUUGGCUACAAGCCUUGCCAUAUUGUACGCUUGAUGAUUAAUGUCAAUGCGCAUGGGAGAUGGAAGAAGCUUCCUUCAAGAUACUAUGGCAAUGGGCUUAUGUGCUCUGUCAUUCAGACAACAGACCGCAAGGCUAAAGAUGAGAUAAUGAUAGAAGAAAAUAUGCAAUUGAGAGUAAAUUUGUUGCCAUUAUGGCGUGAGAAACCAUACAUAAAAGUACAAAGAAUAUUUAAAACAUGUGACAUAAAAUGGAUUGGGCAAGACACUUUGGAUAUUGGAUGGGCAAAGAGGAUUGGAGGUGGAAUACCGACUGUUAGUCUGCCAAAUAUAACAAGCUACCAAUUCAUGUGCAAGAAUGAAAAAGGUGAGAAGUCAACAAUCAUCUCCAUGUUGUUGCCACAACCUGCAAUGGAUAGAUUCAAACAGGAGAUGGCUGCUUCGUUAAAUGAAUACUCCAUCCGUCCCAAAAUAUAAAGACUUUUGC